RNAcentral lists this ribosomal RNA (666 nucleotides) under Triticum aestivum (bread wheat). RNAcentral describes it as "partial small subunit ribosomal RNA". The record is from RNAcentral. Lineage: Eukaryota; Viridiplantae; Streptophyta; Magnoliopsida; Poales; Poaceae.
AUGUCAUCCAUGAUAUAUGAGCUUGUGCAUUUCCUUAGCAAAUUUGUUGUGAUCUUCCUUGAUGGCAUAUUCAUACAUCAUGAUCAUAUUGUCCACCAUGAAUUGCAUGAUAGCUUACACAUAUUGAGCAUCCAUUUCCAUAUUCAUGCUAUUGAUGAACCGUCUCUCUAUGACAUCAUUUUGCACAAUGGUAGAAUUUGUCGCUUUGUGCACCAUGCUAAUUAUCCCAUGAAUGCUUUGCAUAUCAUUCUAGAUCAUCUUGAUAAGCAUCAUGUGUCUUGCCAUGCACCAUCUUGCCACACGGACUCAUAUUUACUUGAUGGACCCUUGGUGUGCGCUAACCAUUGUAUUUCUAAGUGUACUUUGUGUUUGCUUCUUUUGCAUGUAUACCACUUCGGAGACACCUUGGAGUACUUGGAUUGCGCCAUGCCUUCAACUUCGUCCAACUACAAGUCCGUCCACGACAACUGUUUCCAUGGUGAUGAGGAUCACGAUCCGAGGUCGGAUCUUUCCCGGGGGGGGGGAGGUGAGGCGGAGCAUCCCACGUUCAUCCCCAUGUACACUCCGACUACUCUCCAAGCCCCGAGGAUACAUAAGAUGAGACCUCGACUAUGCGCCAUUGGACACAAGGUGAACCCGUUCCUAAAUGCCUUUCCAUUCGUGUGA